Non-coding RNA from Pelobates cultripes (western spadefoot toad), 161 nucleotides. Lineage: Eukaryota; Metazoa; Chordata; Amphibia; Anura; Pelobatidae. The record is from the annotation of a GenBank genome assembly.
GCGGACACAUCCCGGCCAAUCUCCAGCAGACCCUUUCACUUCCAGACCCUCCCACCUCCUGGCCAGCAUCCAUGUUGAAGCUGCCUUCAACAUGGAUGCUGGCCAGGAGGUGGGAGGGUCUGGGAGGGAGGGUCUGCUGGAGAUUGGCCGGGAUGUGUCAG